RNAcentral lists this non-coding RNA (45 nucleotides) under Schistosoma mansoni. Lineage: Eukaryota; Metazoa; Platyhelminthes; Trematoda; Strigeidida; Schistosomatidae. The record is from RNAcentral.
ACCCAGUUGACGAGUCCCAAGUAGGACGAAACGCGCGUCUUGGAU